AACGCAUAUUGCGCUCUCUGGUAUUCCGGAGAGCAUGCUUGUUUGAGUAUCAGUAAACACCUCAAAUCCUCACUUCUUUUUGAAGAGAGGAAUUGGACUUGAGCAAUCCCAACACUUGCAAGAGUGGCGGGUUGCUUGAAAUGCAGGUGCAGCUGGACUUUCCUCUGAGCUAAAAGCAUAUUUAUUUAAUCCCGUCAAACGGAUUAUUACUUUUGCUGCAGCUAACAUAAAGGAGAAUCGUUCUUGUGCUGACUGAUGCAGGAUUCACAGGUUGCUUCGGCGACUUGUAAACUCGAUCUCAAAUCAAGUAAGACUACCCGCUGAACUUAA
Molecule: ribosomal RNA, 330 nt
Filed under: uncultured fungus
Lineage: Eukaryota; Fungi
Description: eukaryotic LSU rRNA
Rfam family: 5.8S ribosomal RNA (bases 1-52)
Source: RNAcentral